UUCCUGAAUUCAAGUUAAAUGGUUUAGUGCUAUUGUUUUGUUAAAGGCUGACAGGCUAAACACGCAUAUUGUUAAGGGUGAGGUGACCACGUGAGGACAAUUUCUUCUGCAGUCAAUCAUAUCAUGGCCAGUGCUGGAUGCAGUACACAACUGUGCCGUGGGAAUAGCCAAGGACUCCCAUCACCCCACAGGGAAUAUUUCACUGGAGGAGCAGCCCUCUCCACUAAGCCAGACAGCGGGCAUGGCCAGCAGUCCCAGCUGAGCUGGAGGUGACACAGCACAGUGCACAGGGGAGCUCCAGACUGCUCAGCCUCUGGGCUGCUGACACCUCACAGGCCACUGCAGGGUGCCCUGGACAUGCUGCCUCUCGCAGGCCACACUUCUGCUGUCAUCUGAGCUUAAUUGGACCAACUUGAUCAAAAGCAGUCUCCACGAUAAGACAGGAUGCUAUUGCAUGCCCCGGAGCAGCACGAUGAGUAAGGCAGCUGUUUUACAAGCAGUUCAGUUCACAAUUUAACACCUGAGCUUUAUGUUGGGCCAGCCAGUCACUCACAAGGGAGCAACCUGUGCAACACAACUGCAGAGCCCUGACUUUCUCCAGCAGCACAGCAGGCCUGGAGGGUUUCAUGAAACUGCAUAUUCCCCAGAGAGGGGCUGUGCAAAGUGACCCACAAGUGGCCAAGACCCAAAGCUAGAGAGGACAAAGCCUCCAACUCCUCUUAGUGACCUGUGGAAAUGCCUGUGGACAGCAAGAGCAGGGCAGGGGAGGCUUCUCUGUUCUCUUUUUUCUCUGCUUAUCUUGUUCUGUUCUCCUCAUUAUGGGUGAUUGGGACAGAACCAUCACUGGGCACCAGCCAGGGAAUGUCACCUUAAGUGCCCUUCCUUUCUUUUUGAAAUUAUUAUUAAUGUUCUUAAUGCUCUGUAGUUUUCCAAAGAGGAAGGAGGAAAAAAAUAUUUGCUGCAGGGCAUUUAUUUGACAGCUGCCAGCAAAGCUUGUGUCUCUGUGAGCCCAUCCAGGAGCUUAGAGCUUCAUUAUUUCUAAUUUCCUAGUACAAGCCUUCAUUUACCUUUUACAUGAUGGAAAAGGAAAGUAGUCCUUUGCAAAACACUGUGGAAGAACAACUGAGUAGUAUAUCAGAUGUAGUCACGAGAAAAGUCAGCACAGAUAAAUGCAUCAUCAGUUGCUAGUUCUCUCAGAGACUGCAAUUCCCCACCCAAGAGCAGAUUUCCUGUGAAAAAUGCAAACAACAGUGCUGUGCCCAUCAGUGAUCAGACUCAUCACCACCCAAGGCAGCAGCUGACUUCCUGCCUGUCUGACUUCGGUGUGAGAGUGCUUUUUCCACGUCAUAUACAAAAUAACACAGGAGAAAUCUGCCUCUGAGACUAGAGCUGCAUGCACGUGGGAGCAGCAGUGUGUUUCUUAGGAGAACUCAGUAAAACUCCAAAAUAUUUCAAUGCACAGAAGCAGGCAGCUCCCAGAGUUGACACUACUUUAGAGUAGAAUGUGUGCAACUUUAAAAAUGAAAUUAUAUGGUUCUGAAAUGACAUAGAGACCAUUCUGACAGCAUAACUCAUUGGAACUUGACAGAGAAACCAAACAGCUAUUUUAGAGAAAAGCUGUAACUGUAAAAACCUCAAUAGAAAGAUGCCUCUUUGUAGUACAGAAAUUCUGAAAAUCCUGAAUUCUAGCAGCAAAAGCCCUGAACAUUGUCUUUAAGAAUGAAAGUAAUUCCAACUAAACUACAAUGCAGGAAUUAUCCUUGUUGCCAGGUUUAGAGCCAGCAGAUGAUGCUGUAUUGCCCAGCACCAAAUCCCAUUUUCUCCAGGAGUAAACACAGUGGGACUGGCUGUCAGGGAGCAACAGCAGCAGCUUCUCCCCAGUGGCAGACAGGGAUCAAAACACUGGUGAUGGUCAGCUAGAGCAGGACCCUGCAGCAGUGAGAGGCACAGCCCUGCAGGACCUGAAAAUGGAGAUCUGAGCAGGUCUUGUGGAUUUACAGAAUCAUGGAAUCAUUAAAGUUGGAAAGGACCUCUAAGAUCAACAAGUCCAACUGUUAACCCACCACCACCACCACCAUUUAACCAUGUUCUCAAGUGCCAUAUCUGCACAUUUUUGAACACUUCCAGGGAUGGCGACUCCACCACAGUCCCUGGGAAGUCUGUUCCAAUGCUUCACAACCCUUUCUGUGAAAAAUAAAUCCCUAAUAUCUAAUCUAGACCUUUCUUGAUGAACUUGAGGCCAUUUCCAUUCCAUUCCAAUUUCCAGAGAGGGGGCAUACACAAAUUCUGUGGGCAACUUGGUCCAGUGUCUGACAAAAGAAUCACUGAGGAAGCAAAGUUUCAGCCAGUACGCCAGUGAUCAAUCACCCAGCAGCUCUAAAGCCAAGGGGCAAGUCCAAAAUCAGACUGGGAAGCCUCCUCAGCAAGUCAGGUUCAUCAAAAAUCAAAGCUACACCCAAGCACAGCUUAUCUGGAGCUCCUGGGCCAUGAGCAGAAGGUGCUGAGGAGGUCCAGGUGUGACUGGCCAUGAUGAACUCUCAGUGCCCAAAGCUGCUGCUCAAUCCUGAAAAAACUGUAUCAAACAAGCUGUUUGAAGGAAUGAUGGUCACCACUGAAGAAAAUAUUCAUUAGGAACUGGCAGCAAAUUUGGACCAAUACUUUGGGUGUCCUGAAGCAGUUUGUUUGGAGCAUGUAAUGCAUUUAACUUUGAAAGAUGUAUCAAAACCCUGAAAAUUGACUCUGGGAAGUCCUGGUCAGAAUACAGGGCAGCUACGAGUGGGGAAAGGAACCACCUUGCUUUUCACUAAGUCCUGAACAGCAAAUCAAAACACAGAAUUAAAGAAAAUUCUGUUUGCUAAAAGACUGGACAGAUUAAGUCAGAAAAUUACACUUUCAAUUUAUGCUCUGCUGCAAAACAAAGAUCUUUAUCUGGGGCCAUACUCAAACUACAGAGUUAACAAUGAGAAAAAUCCUCUUUCCAACACAAAGCAGACAAAAUUUUAAUUGGACAAACAGCUGCAGAAAUUGCCAUUUGAACUCAGAGGACUCCUUUGAUUCAGAACAGCAGCUCUACAAGAUUGCAAUGAAAACUGGGAAUCCCAAAGGAAAUUCCACUAUAACCACCCAUGAGGAAAAGAUAGCUGCAGUACUUUAAAGCUAUUUCUGAACCAAAAACACACUUGAACUGCAGGCAAGUUCUGUCUGUGGCUCAGAGGUGCUGCCAGUGUAAGCUGUAAAAAUAAUUACACCAUCAAUAUUUAGAAAUCAGAAGGACUUGCACAGAAAUGUCCCCAGUCCUGCUGGGAAACUUCCAUCAGCUGUGGAAGACUUUAGUGUUAUGAAUGUUACACAAGUCUCACUAGACUCAACUCUGCUCUUUAGAACAGGAGUGCUCGCAUGAGAUCCUCAGACAACUUUUCUUCUUCCUGCCUCUACCAUUAGUGGAAUGGCCUGGAAUUAAAUUGUAAAAGUACAGAAGUAUCUACAUGACUUGGAGGGCCAUAAACCCUAUGUAGGAAGGAAUUAUUUAAGGUUGUAGAAAGGGUAUAAUUAGAAGCUGUUAAAUGAAGUAAAGCAAACGAACAAGCCCAAGUAUAAAAGCUUCCUCUCAAUCUUCCAGCACACAGAACAAUCUUGUAGAGAGCAGAAAGGCUCCUAGAGCUGCUACAGAGACUGAGUGUGACACAGAGCACUGCAAACCCUGACUGCUGCACCCCCCAGAGCAGCUCUCAGUACUGCUCAGCAAUGUGGAAGAGCUGUGUUACCUAAAACACAGCAUCCUGUUUUUCCCAGGUCUGGAUUCAGUUCUGGAGCCUAUCAUGUGUGCCAGCACUGCUCCCAAAUGGUGGCUACAAAAAUACAAGCCAGAAAUGCUGCCUAGUCCCUUAAAUAAUAAUUUACUGUGGGUGCACUCAGGAUACAAAGACCUGGGCUCAGUUCCCUCCAUCUGGGCUGUGUGGCUGGGCCUGCUCUGCACACAGAGCUCUGCCAAGUGUCCACAGAUGCUCCUGGAAGCCAAGGGUGAGGGCUGCCCUGUGAUGCCUCCACACAGGACACUGCUGACUGAGGAGCCUGGCCAGUGUCU
Molecule: long non-coding RNA, 4084 nt
Filed under: Taeniopygia guttata (zebra finch)
Lineage: Eukaryota; Metazoa; Chordata; Aves; Passeriformes; Estrildidae
Description: lncRNA (ENSTGUG00000029651.1)
Source: RNAcentral